Molecule: ribosomal RNA, 468 nt
Filed under: uncultured bacterium
Lineage: Bacteria
Description: partial 16S ribosomal RNA
Rfam family: Bacterial small subunit ribosomal RNA
Source: RNAcentral
GACGAACGCUGGCGGCGUGCUUAACACAUGCAAGUCGAACGGAAAGGCCCUGCUCUUGUGGGGUGCUCGAGUGGCGAACGGGUGAGUAACACGUGAGUAACCUGCCCUUGACUUUGGGAUAACUUCAGGAAACUGGGGCUAAUACCGGAUAGGAGCUCCUGCUGCAUGGUGGGGGUUGGAAAGUUUCGGCGGUUGGGGAUGGUCUCGCGGCUUAUCAGCUUGUUGGUGGGGUAGUGGCUUACGAAGGCUUUGACGGGUAGCCGGCCUGAGAGGGUGACCGGCCACAUGGGUACUGAGAUACGGACCAGACGCCUACGUGAGGCAGCAGUGGGGAAUAUUGCACAAUGGGCGGAAGCCUGAUGCAGCAGCGCCGCGUGCGGAAUGACGGCCUUCGGGUUGUAAACCGCUUUCGCCUGUGACGAGGCGUGAGUGACGGUAAUGGGUAAAGAAGCACCGGCUAACUACGUG